UAACUUCGGGAAACCGGAGCUAAUACCGGAUAAUAUUUUGAACCGCAUGGUUCAAAAGUGAAAGACGGUCUUGCUGUCACUUAUAGAUGGAUCCGCGCUGCAUUAGCUAGUUGGUAAGGUAACGGCUUACCAAGGCAACGAUGCAUAGCCGACCUGAGAGGGUGAUCGGCCACACUGGAACUGAGACACGGUCCAGACUCCUACGGGAGGCAGCAGUA
RNAcentral lists this ribosomal RNA (218 nucleotides) under uncultured Staphylococcus sp. RNAcentral describes it as "partial 16S ribosomal RNA". It matches the Rfam family "Bacterial small subunit ribosomal RNA", at positions 144 to 355 of the family's 1533-position model. Lineage: Bacteria; Bacillati; Bacillota; Bacilli; Caryophanales; Staphylococcaceae. The record is from RNAcentral.